ACUCUUCAACCCCCAAUUUUUCUUAAGUGAGAUUUUGGUGCGGCUUGGUUUCUGAACGCCUGCUGGACUUGUUAAAAGUCGAGCUCGUUCGUAAUGCAUUAGCAUCCUAAUCUUCGAGAUCAGAUUGACUCGGCGUAAUAGACUAUUCGCUGAGGACAUGGCACCCCGUCAAAAAGAGUGUUGUGGCUGGACUUGGAAAGUUGGAAGCUUACAAACCCCGACAAUUUAGUCAAAUCAUCUAAG
This 243-nucleotide unclassified non-coding RNA is filed under the name Microbotryum scabiosae. RNAcentral describes it as "partial internal transcribed spacer 2". Lineage: Eukaryota; Fungi; Basidiomycota; Microbotryomycetes; Microbotryales; Microbotryaceae. The record is from RNAcentral.